GCCCUCAUGGUCUAGAGGCUUAGGACGCUGCCCUCUCAAGGCAGAGGCCGCCGGUUCGAAUCCGGCUGGGGGUAC
RNAcentral lists this transfer RNA (75 nucleotides) under Streptomyces phage KimJongPhill. Its description in RNAcentral is "tRNA-Glu". It matches the Rfam family "tRNA". From Rfam's summary of the family: Transfer RNA (tRNA) molecules are approximately 80 nucleotides in length. Their secondary structure includes four short double-helical elements and three loops (D, anti-codon, and T loops). Further hydrogen bonds mediate the characteristic L-shaped molecular structure. tRNAs have two regions of fundamental functional importance: the anti-codon, which is responsible for specific mRNA codon recognition, and the 3' end, to which the tRNAs corresponding amino acid is attached (by aminoacyl-tRNA synthetases). tRNAs cope with the degeneracy of the genetic code in two manners: having more than one tRNA (with a specific anti-codon) for a particular amino acid; and 'wobble' base-pairing, i.e. permitting non-standard base-pairing at the 3rd anti-codon position. Lineage: Duplodnaviria; Heunggongvirae; Uroviricota; Caudoviricetes. The record is from RNAcentral.